Molecule: long non-coding RNA, 168 nt
Organism: Sphaeramia orbicularis (orbiculate cardinalfish)
Lineage: Eukaryota; Metazoa; Chordata; Actinopteri; Kurtiformes; Apogonidae
Exons: 3
Source: RefSeq, a predicted model, not a curated record
CCGGGACGCAUCAACAGCCGCUUCGACAAUGGAGGUGGAGAACAUGGUCCACUGGGACUCAAUGUCCCCAGCCUCCCCCAGGAUCUGGGAGAAGUUCUCCUGGAGGUGAGAGUUAAAGACCAUGCUGACAUCAGGCUCUGCCAGACGUUCCCAACAGACCCUCACAAC